AGGAUUAGAUACCCUGGUAGUCCACGCCGUAAACGGUGGGCGCUAGUUGUGCGAACCUUCCACGGUUUGUGCGACGCAGCUAACGCAUUAAGCGCCCCGCCUGGGGAGUACGAUCGCAAGAUUAAAACUCAAAGGAAUUGACGGGGCCCCGCACAAGCAGCGGAGCAUGCGGCUUAAUUCGACGCAACGCGAAGAACCUUACCAAGGCUUGACAUAUACAGGAAUACGGCAGAGAUGUCGUAGCCGCAAGGUCUGUAUACAGGUGGUGCAUGGUUGUCGUCAGCUCGUGUCGUGAGAUGUUGGGUUAAGUCCCGCAACGAGCGCAACCCUCGUUCUGUGUUGCCAGCAUUUAGUUGGGGACUCACAGGAGACUGCCGGGGUUAACUCGGAGGAAGGUGGGGAUGACGUCAAAUCAUCAUGCCCCUUAUGUCUUGGGCUGCACGCAUGCUACAAUGGCUGGUACAAACGGCUGCAAUACCGCAAGGUGGAGCGAAUCCGAGAAAGCCAGUCUCAGUUCGGAUUGGGGUCUGCAACUCGACCCCAUGAAGUCGGAGUUGCUAGUAAUCGUAGAUCAGCAACGCUACGGUGAAUACGUUCCCGGGGCUUGUACACACCGCCCGUCACAUCACGAAAGUCGGUAACACCCAAAGUCAGUGCCCA
This 660-nucleotide ribosomal RNA is filed under the name uncultured Actinomycetes bacterium. Its description in RNAcentral is "bacterial SSU rRNA". It matches the Rfam family "Bacterial small subunit ribosomal RNA", at positions 774 to 1436 of the family's 1533-position model. Lineage: Bacteria; Bacillati; Actinomycetota; Actinomycetes. The record is from RNAcentral.